GUGGGGAAUAUUCCGCAAUGGACGAAAGUCUGACGGAGCAACGCCGCGUGAGUGAUGAAGGUUUUCGGACUGUAAAGCUCUGUUGUUUAGGACGAAAGUGCCUGUUGCAAAUAGUUACAGGUAUUGACGGUACUGAACGAGGAAGCCACGGCUAACUACGUGCCAGCAGCCGCGGUAAUACGUAGGUGGCAAGCGUUGUCCGGAAUUAUUGGGCGUAAAGUGCAUGUAGGCGGGAAUCUAAGUCUGUUGUGAAACUGCGGGGCUCAACCCCGUAUUGCGAUGGAAACUGGGUUUCUUGAGUGCAGGAGAGGAAAAGGGAAUUCCCAGUGUAGCGGUGAAAUGCGUAGAUAUUGGGAGGGACACCAGUGGCGAAGGCGCCUUUCUGGACUGUGUCUGACGCUGAGAUGCGAAAGCCAGGGUAGCGAACGGGAUUAGAUACCCCAGUAGUCC
Molecule: ribosomal RNA, 450 nt
Filed under: uncultured bacterium
Lineage: Bacteria
Description: partial 16S ribosomal RNA
Rfam family: Bacterial small subunit ribosomal RNA
Source: RNAcentral